This 1311-nucleotide ribosomal RNA is filed under the name Salmonella enterica subsp. enterica serovar Montevideo. RNAcentral's name for it is "bacterial SSU rRNA". It matches the Rfam family "Bacterial small subunit ribosomal RNA", at positions 239 to 1533 of the family's 1533-position model. The record is from RNAcentral. Lineage: Bacteria; Pseudomonadati; Pseudomonadota; Gammaproteobacteria; Enterobacterales; Enterobacteriaceae.
GAUUAGCUUGUUGGUGAGGUAACGGCUCACCAAGGCGACGAUCCCUAGCUGGUCUGAGAGGAUGACCAGCCACACUGGAACUGAGACACGGUCCAGACUCCUACGGGAGGCAGCAGUGGGGAAUAUUGCACAAUGGGCGCAAGCCUGAUGCAGCCAUGCCGCGUGUAUGAAGAAGGCCUUCGGGUUGUAAAGUACUUUCAGCGGGGAGGAAGGUGUUGUGGUUAAUAACCGCAGCAAUUGACGUUACCCGCAGAAGAAGCACCGGCUAACUCCGUGCCAGCAGCCGCGGUAAUACGGAGGGUGCAAGCGUUAAUCGGAAUUACUGGGCGUAAAGCGCACGCAGGCGGUCUGUCAAGUCGGAUGUGAAAUCCCCGGGCUCAACCUGGGAACUGCAUUCGAAACUGGCAGGCUUGAGUCUUGUAGAGGGGGGUAGAAUUCCAGGUGUAGCGGUGAAAUGCGUAGAGAUCUGGAGGAAUACCGGUGGCGAAGGCGGCCCCCUGGACAAAGACUGACGCUCAGGUGCGAAAGCGUGGGGAGCAAACAGGAUUAGAUACCCUGGUAGUCCACGCCGUAAACGAUGUCUACUUGGAGGUUGUGCCCUUGAGGCGUGGCUUCCGGAGCUAACGCGUUAAGUAGACCGCCUGGGGAGUACGGCCGCAAGGUUAAAACUCAAAUGAAUUGACGGGGGCCCGCACAAGCGGUGGAGCAUGUGGUUUAAUUCGAUGCAACGCGAAGAACCUUACCUGGUCUUGACAUCCACGGAACUUUCCAGAGAUGGAUUGGUGCCUUCGGGAACCGUGAGACAGGUGCUGCAUGGCUGUCGUCAGCUCGUGUUGUGAAAUGUUGGGUUAAGUCCCGCAACGAGCGCAACCCUUAUCCUUUGUUGCCAGCGGUCCGGCCGGGAACUCAAAGGAGACUGCCAGUGAUAAACUGGAGGAAGGUGGGGAUGACGUCAAGUCAUCAUGGCCCUUACGACCAGGGCUACACACGUGCUACAAUGGCGCAUACAAAGAGAAGCGACCUCGCGAGAGCAAGCGGACCUCAUAAAGUGCGUCGUAGUCCGGAUUGGAGUCUGCAACUCGACUCCAUGAAGUCGGAAUCGCUAGUAAUCGUGGAUCAGAAUGCCACGGUGAAUACGUUCCCGGGCCUUGUACACACCGCCCGUCACACCAUGGGAGUGGGUUGCAAAAGAAGUAGGUAGCUUAACCUUCGGGAGGGCGCUUACCACUUUGUGAUUCAUGACUGGGGUGAAGUCGUAACAAGGUAACCGUAGGGGAACCUGCGGUUGGAUCACCUCCUUACCUUAAAGAA